UGAUUAGAAGCUUGCUUCUAUGACGUUAGCGGCGGACGGGUGAGUAACACGUGGGCAACCUGCCUGUAAGACUGGGAUAACUUCGGGAAACCGAAGCUAAUACCGGAUAGGAUCUUCUCCUUCAUGGGAGAUGAUUGAAAGAUGGUUUCGGCUAUCACUUACAGAUGGGCCCGCGGUGCAUUAGCUAGUUGGUGAGGUAACGGCUCACCAAGGCAACGAUGCAUAGCCGACCUGAGAGGGUGAUCGGCCACACUGGGACUGAGACACGGCCCAGACUCCUACGGGAGGCAGCAGUAGGGAAUCUUCCGCAAUGGACGAAAGUCUGACGGAGCAACGCCGCGUGAGUGAUGAAGGCUUUCGGGUCGUAAAACUCUGUUGUUAGGGAAGAACAAGUACAAGAGUAACUGCUUGUACCUUGACGGUACCUAACCAGAAAGCCACGGCUAACUACGUGCCAGCAGCCGCGGUAAUACGUAGGUGGCAAGCGUUAUCCGGAAUUAUUGGGCGUAAAGCGCGCGCAGGCGGUUUCUUAAGUCUGAUGUGAAAGCCCACGGCUCAACCGUGGAGGGUCAUUGGAAACUGGGGAACUUGAGUGCAGAAGAGAAAAGCGGAAUUCCACGUGUAGCGGUGAAAUGCGUAGAGAUGUGGAGGAACACCAGUGGCGAAGGCGGCUUUUUGGUCUGUAACUG
This 689-nucleotide ribosomal RNA is filed under the name Bacillus sp. (in: firmicutes). Its description in RNAcentral is "bacterial SSU rRNA". It matches the Rfam family "Bacterial small subunit ribosomal RNA", at positions 69 to 742 of the family's 1533-position model. Lineage: Bacteria; Bacillati; Bacillota; Bacilli; Caryophanales; Bacillaceae. The record is from RNAcentral.